AAAGAGAAGAUGCAGACAUACCAGGCUCUCUGCUGGUGACUUUAUCUGAUUGUUUUUUGUUUCUAUUCUCAGAUUUUCUGACAGUAAAAGGAGAAGAGGACAUUUUGAUGACCCCCCAUCCUGGCUCUGAGUUCUUCACUGUCAUGCUGACUGGUUUACCAGAAACAUGCUACAAACACGAAGACAUUGCAAAGCUGGUUUGGCCUUAUUUCCCCAUACAGAACCUUCAGACUCUCUACUACAACAUCUUGGUCCUACCAUUGCAGAGGAGGGCCUUUGUGUUUUUCCCCAACUGGAAGGCAUGUCGCAGUUUUGUCCAGGAUUGUGUCAAAAAACCGGUCUCAGUCAAGAACCGUCCUCUCAGCGUCCACUUGGUGUUAGAGGACAUGCAUCCUCCAUCCAGUGAGG
Molecule: long non-coding RNA, 408 nt
Organism: Cyprinodon tularosa
Lineage: Eukaryota; Metazoa; Chordata; Actinopteri; Cyprinodontiformes; Cyprinodontidae
Exons: 3
Source: RefSeq, a predicted model, not a curated record